AUAGAAGUCCAAAGGAUUUAAAUCUGGGCUGUUGGGAGGCCAAAAUUCUUUGGACCAAAACAUGUUGAUGUUGUCUAACAACAAUUUUGCACCAAAUAAAUUGUGUGCAUGGGUGCAUACAAGUCAUUUGGUCGAUUCGAUGUAUAGUUUUUUCACUCACGCUGACAACCAAUGACAAUUUUCAGAUUGACUGCCCUGGAUCCUCAAAAAUCGGCUCCUGAGCCCGUUGAAUGAUUUUGGGCGUCCUGACAAUGUGCUCCUUUGAGUGAGUUUUCCUUGCUGGUGUUGCCAAACCUUCGUUGGACUUUUCCAACUCAUUAUACUUUGCAACAAUAUCAUACACAGUCAAUCUUUGGUACCCGAAGAAUCGAAUGAUUUCUGUCGCUGAGCGCCCAGUGCAAACACUUCCGAUAAUUGCAGCUCUUUGAUUAUACUCCACACCUGAUUUCAACAUUGUGACUGUUUCAAGGUUAUGAUGUUUAGUACGUACGUCAAGCUAUUUGGAUGCCAAUUGUGACUUCUGGAAGUGGUAUAGAACAGCGGGAAAUUCAAAUUGAAUUUUGUCUGGAUUUUGGUGCUGCACCCUAUAUAAACUUAAAAAUGGAUAUAAACAAUAAACUGCAAAUCUUAUCUGACAUUAUCACAAUAUACACACAUGGAGAAAAGAAUGCCACCUAUUAUACUGAUAACACAAUAAAGUUUUGUUUAGCUUAUUUUAUAAAUUAUUUACCGACCACUUCCAUGCAUGAGAAAAAGAACUUGGGUCAUUACUAUUGACAAUACAAUCAUUUUUUACACAUUUAAUUAUCUCACUCAAUCCCAUAAUGAUUGAUUCAUUUUUGAACUUGACACAUUUCACCAUUUUCAUUUCCAU
Molecule: long non-coding RNA, 874 nt
Filed under: Androctonus crassicauda
Lineage: Eukaryota; Metazoa; Arthropoda; Arachnida; Scorpiones; Buthidae
Source: RNAcentral